Molecule: small nuclear RNA, 26 nt
Filed under: Arabidopsis thaliana (thale cress)
Lineage: Eukaryota; Viridiplantae; Streptophyta; Magnoliopsida; Brassicales; Brassicaceae
Description: snRNA_16669
Source: RNAcentral
CAUACCAGCACUAAUGCACCGGAUCC